CAACCUGAGAGUUUGAUUCUGGCUCAGAACGAACGCUGGCGGCAGGCUUAACACAUGCAAGUCGAACGCCCCGCAAGGGGAGUGGCAGACGGGUGAGUAACACGUGGGAACAUGCCCAAAGGUACG
Molecule: ribosomal RNA, 126 nt
Filed under: Hyphomonadaceae bacterium
Lineage: Bacteria; Pseudomonadati; Pseudomonadota; Alphaproteobacteria; Hyphomonadales; Hyphomonadaceae
Description: partial 16S ribosomal RNA
Rfam family: Bacterial small subunit ribosomal RNA
Source: RNAcentral